GACGAACGCUGGCGGCGUGCUUAACACAUGCCAGUCGAACGGAAAGGCCCGGCUCGUGGGGUUCUCAAGUUGCCAACGGGUGGGUAACACGUAGGUGGUUUGCCUUCCUCUUAGGGUUAGGCCUGGUCAAGUGGGUCUAGUUCCUAACGGGUGAUAUUUUUAGUGUGAUGGUUGAAAAGUUUUUUCGGUGUAGGAUGAGCCCGCGGCCUAUCUGCUUGUUGCGGGGGUAAUGGGGUACCAAGGCGGCGUCGCGAGGCCGGCCUGCGAGGGUGACAGGCGACACUGAGUCUGAGGUAAGGCAGAGACUCCUACGGGAGGGAGCAGUGGGGAAUAUUGAACAAUGGGCGCAAGGCUGAUGCAGAGAGGCCGCGUGGGGGAUGACGGCCUUCGGGUUGAAAACUAAAUUCGCAAGGGACGAAGCAUUUUGUGACGGUACCUAGAUAAGAAGCACCGGCUAACUACGUG
Molecule: ribosomal RNA, 465 nt
Filed under: uncultured bacterium
Lineage: Bacteria
Description: partial 16S ribosomal RNA
Rfam family: Bacterial small subunit ribosomal RNA
Source: RNAcentral